Long non-coding RNA from Megalobrama amblycephala (Wuchang bream), 1002 nucleotides. RefSeq lists it as uncharacterized. The record is from RefSeq and is a predicted model, not a curated record. NCBI's taxonomy places the organism in Eukaryota, Metazoa, Chordata, Actinopteri, Cypriniformes, Xenocyprididae. The transcript is spliced from 2 exons.
CACAGCCGGUCAUGAAGUGCUCUCGAGGGUUUGGUAUGGGAACACCUCGUGCCAGUGAGUUCAGGUAACUAGACUCUGGGGUGGAGCGGCUCUGGUAAACACGUGGAGAUAAGAGCGCGUCUCUGGAGACGAGAUGAUCUGCAGGAUUCAUCAUUACAGAGACACGCCAUCGGAUUUGGACAUUGUCAUUCAUUUUCCAAGUCUGUCGGUUCAUUGAACUUGUGUACUUUCAUUUUAUGUACCGUAUAAUCAGAGAUACAAAAUUAUGCUUGAGUAACUUGGCUUACACUGACAUAACUCUCCUUUUCUAAGCUUAUAAUAAGCUUAUCAUGUCCAUUCACAUGGAGGCUUCCGAGUUAAUUCAAUCUGACCUACAACGGUCGACUUUACCUCCAUCAGAUCAUUUCUCCAAGAAAAACAAACUGACAGGAGAUGGUGGUGUUCGCUGACGUGACCGGCAGGAGAUGGCCGUGGUGGAAAUGGUCAGGGUAAUUUUCCCAUGAUUGACUCACCCUCAGCCAUCCUAGGUGUAUAUGACUAUCCCCUUUCAGACAAACACAAUAUCCUGGCUCUUCCAAGCUUUAUAAUGUUAAUGAACAGGGGGCGAGAUUUUGAAGCCCAUCAUGAAAGUAAUCCAUACGACUCCAGAGGGUUAAUAAAGGCCUUUUUUCAGGUUCAUCCUCAGUUCACGACCCUCUAUCUCCCAAAAUAUUCCCUUUUCCUCAAGUUUGAAUAAAGGAAAAGGGAAUUCUUCAUGGAGGUGGAAGGUCUACGAUCUCCAUCUUCAUGAUCAUGGAUGAGGCUUGCAAUAACAGGCCUCGAUUGGUCAUGAACAUCAGGGACAUUCAUGUGAUGUUGAAGAACAUUUAUGGUCAAAAGUUGAAGACAGGCUUGAUGUUACUCAUACUGUGCAUUUGAGAUUUAUUACUUAAAUGUAUGUUUCACGAUGCAAAUGCGGGAUUGUUGUAAAAAUACUGUAAAAUAAAAUAUUCUUGCAUGCAA